GAUGAACGCUGGCGGCGUGCCUAAUACAUGCAAGUCGAGCGAACGGACGAGAAGCUUGCUUUUCUGAUGUUAGCGGCGGACGGGUGAGUAACACGUGGAUAACCUACCUAUAAGACUGGGAUAACUUCGGGAAACCGGAGCUAAUACCGGAUAAUAUUUUGAACCGCAUGGUUCAAAAGUGAAAGACGGUCUUGCUGUCACUUAUAGAUGGAUCCGCGCUGCAUUAGCUAGUUGGUAAGGUAACGGCUUACCAAGGCAACGAUGCAUAGCCGACCUGAGAGGGUGAUCGGCCACACUGGAACUGAGACACGGUCCAGACUCCUACGGGAGGCAGCAGUAAGGAAUCUUCCGCAAUGGGCGAAAGCCUGACGGAGCAACGCCGCGUGAGUGAUGAAGGUCUUCGGAUCGUAAAACUCUGUUAUUAGGGAAGAACAUAUGUGUAAGUAACUGUGCACAUCUUGACGGUACCUAAUCAGAAAGCCACGGCUAACUACGUG
RNAcentral lists this ribosomal RNA (497 nucleotides) under uncultured bacterium. RNAcentral's name for it is "partial 16S ribosomal RNA". It matches the Rfam family "Bacterial small subunit ribosomal RNA", at positions 28 to 507 of the family's 1533-position model. The record is from RNAcentral.